AAUGAACGCUGGCGGCGGGCCUAAUACAUGCAAGUCGAGCGAACAGACGAGGAGCGUUCUCCUCUAACGUUAGCGGCGGACGGGUGAGUAACACGUGCAUAACCUACCUCUUAGACUGGGAUAACUUCGUGAAACCGGAGCUAAUAACACCUAACAUGAUGAACCGCAUGGUUCAACAGAGAAACACAGCCUUGCCGUCACUUAUAGACGGAUCCGCGUCGCCUUAGCUAGUUGGUAAGGUAACGGCUUGACAAGGAGACGAUGCGUAGCCGACCUGAGAGGAUGAUCGGCCACACUGGAACUGAGACACGGUCCAGACUCCUACGGGAGGCAGCAGUGGGGAAUCUUCGGCAAUGGGCGAAAGCCUGACGCAGCCAUGCCGCGUGAGUGAAGAAGGUCUUCGGAUCGUAAAACUCUGUUAUUAGGGAAGAAAAAAUGUGUAAGAAAACAUGGACGUUUUGACGGUACCUAAACAGAAAGCAACGGCUAACUACGUG
Molecule: ribosomal RNA, 497 nt
Filed under: uncultured bacterium
Lineage: Bacteria
Description: partial 16S ribosomal RNA
Rfam family: Bacterial small subunit ribosomal RNA
Source: RNAcentral